Molecule: unclassified non-coding RNA, 272 nt
Filed under: plant metagenome
Description: partial contains small subunit ribosomal RNA, internal transcribed spacer 1, and 5.8S ribosomal RNA
Source: RNAcentral
UUUCCGUAGGUGAACCUGCGGAGGGAUCAUUAAUGAGUUGUCAUGGGGUUCGAUGCUGGCAGCCAGUUUUUGGAUGCAUGUGCUUGCCCUAACAAUCAUCUUCUUCCAAACACCUGUGCACAUUUUUGAGGGAGUCUUGAGUUGGUUGCCGCUCUUGGGUGAUUUUCUCACAUUCCCUUAAAUCAUUAUACGCUAUUAACAAUGUUGAACGUGCUCUGUGCCGCAAGGCCAUUAAUAUAAUACAACUUUUAACAACGGAUCUCUUGGCUCUC